UCCUCUUCCUGCCUCCUGCACUGGCCACCCCAGGGCACUAGAUCUCAACAGUCUUUCCAUGUGGGGCUCUACCCUGCCCAGAGGAGGGGCUCUUCUAGUUGCCUGAAAGCUAUUUGCCAUAAUCCAAGUCUCAGGCGGCCGCAGAUGCCUUUGCAGACUCUCGGAGCUUCUUGCUUCUCAUCUAUAAGGUGGAUGUCACCUGGAAGCCUUACCUGUAUGUGAGGUAGGGGAGGUGUAGCUGCCUCCCAGGCUUCACCAAGGUCCUUCCAGACCAGACUGACAACCUCUAAGUGCCUGGGGAACUGGCAGAGUGGCAUUCCGGGACUGUGACGCUGGGGCUAAGGUCUCCAGCACCUCCAGGGGAGAUGGGCCGCCCAGGACCCCCAGAGGAGAAGGUCUCUGACACCCAGCUGUCCGGGGCUCCUGGUGCCCCUGGAGAUGCACUUGGUGACGACAUCGAUGGUACAGAGGAUUCAGACUUGGUGCCCUCUGUCACCCUGGCUGCAGCCCUCAUCCUAUUGUUCCUCCUAGUGUCACUCUGGCUGGCAUGGCCACUCUGCCAAGCCUCCUACUAAGUGGAUUCCUGAGUGGAGGGCAGCAAGACCAUUGGGCUUCCAGCCCCACUCUGGGUCAAUGACUCUCAGUGCUGUGGGAAAGUGUGGCAGCUCGUGCUCACCCGGUCCACUUCCCUUGAUGCCUGGCUUUACUCAUGUUUCUCAUCUUUAUAAAGCCAUGCUGCAGACUUCAGAUAAAGCCGAAUGCCUUCA
This is a long non-coding RNA of Peromyscus eremicus (cactus mouse), 767 nucleotides long. RefSeq lists it as uncharacterized. Lineage: Eukaryota; Metazoa; Chordata; Mammalia; Rodentia; Cricetidae. The transcript has 2 exons. The record is from RefSeq and is a predicted model, not a curated record.